UAUUUCAUGAAGGUUACCUUGUA
Molecule: microRNA, 23 nt
Filed under: Heligmosomoides polygyrus
Lineage: Eukaryota; Metazoa; Nematoda; Chromadorea; Rhabditida; Heligmosomidae
Description: hpo-miR-10043d-5p
Source: miRBase by way of RNAcentral